AAAUUGAAGAGUUUGAUCAUGGCUCAGAUUGAACGCUGGCGGCAGGCCUAACACAUGCAAGUCGAACGGUAACAGGAAGAAGCUUGCUUCUUUGCUGACGAGUGGCGGACGGGUGAGUAAUGUCUGGGAAACUGCCUGAUGGAGGGGGAUAACUACUGGAAACGGUAGCUAAUACCGCAUAACGUCGCAAGACCAAAGAGGGGGACCUUCGGGCCUCUUGCCAUCGGAUGUGCCCAGAUGGGAUUAGCUAGUUGGUGGGGUAACGGCUCACCAAGGCGACGAUCCCUAGCUGGUCUGAGAGGAUGACCAGCCACACUGGAACUGAGACACGGUCCAGACUCCUACGGGAGGCAGCAGUGGGGAAUAUUGCACAAUGGGCGCAAGCCUGAUGCAGCCAUGCCGCGUGUAUGAAGAAGGCCUUCGGGUUGUAAAGUACUUUCAGCGGGGAGGAAGGGAGUAAAGUUAAUACCUUUGCUCAUUGACGUUACCCGCAGAAGAAGCACCGGCUAACUCCGUGCCAGCAGCCGCGGUAAUACGGAGGGUGCAAGCGUUAAUCGGAAUUACUGGGCGUAAAGCGCACGCAGGCGGUUUGUUAAGUCAGAUGUGAAAUCCCCGGGCUCAACCUGGGAACUGCAUCUGAUACUGGCAAGCUUGAGUCUCGUAGAGGGGGGUAGAAUUCCAGGUGUAGCGGUGAAAUGCGUAGAGAUCUGGAGGAAUACCGGUGGCGAAGGCGGCCCCCUGGACGAAGACUGACGCUCAGGUGCGAAAGCGUGGGGAGCAAACAGGAUUAGAUACCCUGGUAGUCCACGCCGUAAACGAUGUCGACUUGGAGGUUGUGCCCUUGAGGCGUGGCUUCCGGAGCUAACGCGUUAAGUCGACCGCCUGGGGAGUACGGCCGCAAGGUUAAAACUCAAAUGAAUUGACGGGGGCCCGCACAAGCGGUGGAGCAUGUGGUUUAAUUCGAUGCAACGCGAAGAACCUUACCUGGUCUUGACAUCCACGGAAGUUUUCAGAGAUGAGAAUGUGCCUUCGGGAACCGUGAGACAGGUGCUGCAUGGCUGUCGUCAGCUCGUGUUGUGAAAUGUUGGGUUAAGUCCCGCAACGAGCGCAACCCUUAUCCUUUGUUGCCAGCGGUCCGGCCGGGAACUCAAAGGAGACUGCCAGUGAUAAACUGGAGGAAGGUGGGGAUGACGUCAAGUCAUCAUGGCCCUUACGACCAGGGCUACACACGUGCUACAAUGGCGCAUACAAAGAGAAGCGACCUCGCGAGAGCAAGCGGACCUCAUAAAGUGCGUCGUAGUCCGGAUUGGAGUCUGCAACUCGACUCCAUGAAGUCGGAAUCGCUAGUAAUCGUGGAUCAGAAUGCCACGGUGAAUACGUUCCCGGGCCUUGUACACACCGCCCGUCACACCAUGGGAGUGGGUUGCAAAAGAAGUAGGUAGCUUAACCUUCGGGAGGGCGCUUACCACUUUGUGAUUCAUGACUGGGGUGAAGUCGUAACAAGGUAACCGUAGGGGAACCUGCGGUUGGAUCACCUCCUUA
This 1542-nucleotide ribosomal RNA is filed under the name Escherichia coli. Its description in RNAcentral is "bacterial SSU rRNA". It matches the Rfam family "Bacterial small subunit ribosomal RNA". The record is from RNAcentral. Lineage: Bacteria; Pseudomonadati; Pseudomonadota; Gammaproteobacteria; Enterobacterales; Enterobacteriaceae.